CCUGGCGGCAGGCCUAAUACAUGCAAGUCGAGCGGAAACGAUGGAGCUUGCUCCAGGCGUCGAGCGGCGGACGGGUGAGUAACGCGUAGGAAUCUGCCCAGUAGAGGGGGAUAGCCCGGGGAAACUCGGAUUAAUACCGCAUACGCCCUACGGGGGAAAGCAGGGGAUCUUCGGACCUUGCGCUAUUGGAUGAGCCUGCGUUGGAUUAGCUUGUUGGUGGGGUAAAGGCCUACCAAGGCGACGAUCCAUAGCUGGUCUGAGAGGAUGAUCAGCCACACUGGGACUGAGACACGGCCCAGACUCCUACGGGAGG
RNAcentral lists this ribosomal RNA (313 nucleotides) under uncultured Gammaproteobacteria bacterium. RNAcentral's name for it is "bacterial SSU rRNA". It matches the Rfam family "Bacterial small subunit ribosomal RNA", at positions 36 to 348 of the family's 1533-position model. The record is from RNAcentral. Lineage: Bacteria; Pseudomonadati; Pseudomonadota; Gammaproteobacteria.